CAGUUACCUCGGGUGCACACCCGAACUGUGCUAUGCGCCCGGGGAAGUUGAGCACGGAUUCUGGAGCGGAAACAUCGCUCUCGGGGGCUCCAUCGAGUUCUCGUGUCAAAAACACUUCACCUUGCGCGGAGCCAGCAAGCUGACCUGUGACCCAGCCACGAAGAAAUGGUCGUCGACAGCUCCGCGCUGCGAGCAGACCUCCAACGCAACGCAGAGUAGCAACCACAGCGUGGGGGAGACACCUCGCCAAGGCAGCCCCACUCGAGGCCCAACUCAGAGGACGUCGUCGCCAACGCACGAGGCCAACAGCACGGCGCAGGUUCAACUUCCCUGGGGUGAAACUGUGUCACCCAAUCAACCACAUGUCACCCAAUCAACCCAUGUCACCCAAUCAACCCAGGCCAGCCAAUCAACCC
Lethenteron reissneri (Far Eastern brook lamprey) is the source of this 416-nucleotide long non-coding RNA. RefSeq lists it as uncharacterized. The record is from RefSeq and is a predicted model, not a curated record. NCBI's taxonomy places the organism in Eukaryota, Metazoa, Chordata, Hyperoartia, Petromyzontiformes, Petromyzontidae.